AAGGGGAGGCAAUGUUCUCUUUCUGGAGAUCUCUGUAUACCUGAGGGCUUCUCAAGAUUACUGAGACAAUGCUUUUGAGCAACUUCUGACUACCACUGAUGUAAAGAUAUCCCAUUGUCUCUGAGAUUCUGAUCAACUGAAGCCAAGUUGCACUGGCAACAAAGUAACCUGUUAGUGUUACAGAGGAUAACACCGAGUUGCUGAAGAUCAUAAAAUGCCCAUAAAAAAGAAGAAAGAGUAAGAUAACAACAAGAGCACUAAUUUUUCAUGCCCCUUUGGGACUGCUUUGGACUGCUGAAAGCAAGAGAUAAGAUCACUGGAUUCACCUGGAGAUUACAUUUACUUCAGAUAUGUGCAGAAGGGACUCAUGAGAAAAGGAAGUAUUUACAUUCUGGCAUGUUAAUGAGUUUCCAUCUUUUUUUUCACCUCUCUUUCCCCUUGUUCACUCUUGUAAUGUUUGUUUGUUUGUUUUCCAUCUGUUAAAAGAUGGGGAAUAUAUAUCCGCUUCACUGGCAUUGCAAGCACAUAUACACAG
This is a long non-coding RNA of Gallus gallus (chicken), 535 nucleotides long. NCBI's taxonomy places the organism in Eukaryota, Metazoa, Chordata, Aves, Galliformes, Phasianidae. The record is from Ensembl.